AUUACCACAACAAGGACAAAUGGCAUUUCUGCCAAAGACUUUUGAUACGGGUGCCGUAAUGCACGUCAGCACUUUCUGAAAUUAAAGGUUCUACCCUGAGAGGUACCUAUUCCUAGGAAUUCCCCUUUCUGGAGAGGUGGAAUGACCUCACCACGACCUCACUUCCUUUCCAAGAAGUCCUGGAGAUUUCUCAUCAGCUCAGAAGCUUCGGGCUAGGUGGCAUCGGCCCUGCUGCUCCCAGGGAGGCUGUCACCAGGCUCUCCUCCUGAGCAAGAGCAGGACCUUUCCUCCUCACCCAAAGAGGCAGCAGCAAGAAGAGAAUGUGAGGCUCCAAUUAGGCACCACAGCCUGCAAGCAGCUCAGGGUUUGGGCAGUGCUGGGUAAGCCCAUAUAGCAUCAUUUAUAAACAGAAAAAAAGGUCACCUUCCUCCAGGACACUUGACUGAUAUCUACUAAAAAGGUCUUAAUCAAUAUAAAUAUAUGAUGAGUAUGAUUCAAAUAUCGCCUCCUAGAGUUUUGCAAGGCACAACUAUUCUUGGUGGUCCUGGAACCAUUUAGAUUUCCUCCUUGAAGCUCCAGAUCAUGUUCUUGCAGUUUCCUUCACUUCAUGGAGAUGCCGUGUUUGGUGGCUUGUCCGGUGAUCUGUCA
Molecule: long non-coding RNA, 648 nt
Organism: Lemur catta (Ring-tailed lemur)
Lineage: Eukaryota; Metazoa; Chordata; Mammalia; Primates; Lemuridae
Exons: 3
Source: RefSeq, a predicted model, not a curated record